RNAcentral lists this long non-coding RNA (607 nucleotides) under Triticum aestivum (bread wheat). Its description in RNAcentral is "long non-coding RNA (TAES_LNC002282)". The record is from RNAcentral. Lineage: Eukaryota; Viridiplantae; Streptophyta; Magnoliopsida; Poales; Poaceae.
CAUACUAUUAAGAUGGACCAAAUUCAUGCAGAUACAACAUGUCUCACUAGUUCAAAGCGGAGCCACAGGAAGCUUACCAUUGCGCAAUGGAUUUACCAACAAAAGGGCCAGGUAGAUGGCAAGACCAACACAUAUUAUCCAUCCCUGGGUCCUCUAGCUUCCAACGUGUUGCCUCCUCCUUGCCCUUCCUUCAAGAAAAAUAACUUCCUUCAAGAAAAACAACACAUGGUCAGUGCUGCCCUAAUAUAGCAAUCAAGAGUGCUCUAACUUUUCACAUGGUUAGCUUCUAUUUAUCUGGACAUUUGGAUCAACAUACAUCCAAAACUAGCUAAAUAUGAGCACAAGCUUGACUCGUGUGACCAACAAUUUAUUGAUGAAAAUCAUUAAUCAGGAACUAAAUAUUACAUUUUGACAAUCAACAAAUGUUUGGUAAAAUGACAACUUCAGAAGAAAAUGGGCACUCAAGCUAGUUCAGUUUUAGAAAUGUACCCCGUUCAUGAGACCAGCAGCAAAGAACGCAACGAAGCACUUGAGAUAGCCUCGGUUCACCAAGGGCUGGAGAACUUGGCGGGCAACACCAACAGUGAGUCUUCGCUCCAUUCGUGCU